Molecule: ribosomal RNA, 325 nt
Filed under: uncultured eukaryote
Lineage: Eukaryota
Description: partial 18S ribosomal RNA
Rfam family: Eukaryotic small subunit ribosomal RNA
Source: RNAcentral
CCCUUAGAUGUUCUGGGCCGCACGCGCGCUACACUGAUGCAUUCAACGAGCCUAUCCUUGACCGACAGGUCCGGGUAAUCUUUGAAUCUGCAUCGUGACGGGGAUAGAUUAUUGCAAUUAUUAAUCUUCAACGAGGAAUGCCUAGUAGGCACAAGUCAUCAGCUUGCGUCGAUUACGUCCCUGCCCUUUGUACACACCGCCCGUCGCUCCUACCGAUUGGGUGUGCUGGUGAAAUGUUCGGAUCGGCCGUUUGUCGCGGUUUCCGCGUCAUGUGGCUGAGAAGUUCAUUAAACCCUCCCACCUAGAGGAAGGAGAAGUCGUAACA